This is a non-coding RNA of Triticum urartu, 136 nucleotides long. The record is from Rfam. NCBI's taxonomy places the organism in Eukaryota, Viridiplantae, Streptophyta, Magnoliopsida, Poales, Poaceae.
AAGUUACUCUCUCCGUUUCAAAAUACUUGACUUUUAUUUAUUAAAAAAUAAAUGUAUCUAUAUACUAAAACAUGUCUACAUACAUUUAUAUUUUGACAAAUGAAAGACAUAUAUUGUGAAACGGAGGGAGUACAUG